GGGACACGUGGUAUCCUGUCUGAAUAUGGGGGGACCAUCCUCCAAGGCUAAAUACUCCUGACUGACCGAUAGUGAACCAGUACCGUGAGGGAAAGGCGAAAAGAACCCCGGCGAGGGGAGUGAAAAAGAACCUGAAACCGUGUACGUACAAGCAGUGGGAGCACAGGUUUACCUGUGUGACUGCGUACCUUUUGUAUAAUGGGUCAGCGACUUAUAUUCUGUAGCAAGGUUAACCGUAUAGGGGAGCCGGAGGGAAACCGAGUCUUAAUUGGGCGUUAAGUUGCAGGGUAUAGACCCGAAACCCGGUGAUCUAGCCAUGGGCAGGUUGAAGGUUGGGUAACACUAACUGGAGGACCGAACCGACUAAUGUUGAAAAAUUAGCGGAUGACCUGUGGCUGGGGGUGAAAGGCCAAUCAAACCGGGAGAUAGCUGGUUCUCCCCGAAAGCUAUUUAGGUAGCGCCUCGUGAAUUCAUCUCCGGGGGUAGAGCACUGUUUCGGCUAGGGGGCCAUCCCGGCUUACCAACCCGAUGCAAACUGCGAAUACCGGAGAAUGUUAUCACGGGAGACACACGGCGGGUGCUAACGUCCGUCGUGAAGAGGGAAACAACCCAGACCGCCAGCUAAGGUCCCAAAGUCAUGGUUAAGUGGGAAACGAUGUGGGAAGGCCCAGACAGCCAGGAUGUUGGCUUAGAAGCAGCCAUCAUUUAAAGAAAGCGUAAUAGCUCACUGGUCGAGUCGGCCUGCGCGGAAGAUGUAACGGGGCUAAACCAUGCACCGAAGCUGCGGCAGCGACGCUUAUGCGUUGUUGGGUAGGGGAGCGUUCUGUAAGCCUGUGAAGGUGUGUCGUGAGGCAUGCUGGAGGUAUCAGAAGUGCGAAUGCUGACAUAAGUAACGAUAAAGCGGGUGAAAAGCCCGCUCGCCGGAAGACCAAGGGUUCCUGUCCAACGUUAAUCGGGGCAGGGUGAGUCGACCCCUAAGGCGAGGCCGAAAGGCGUAGUCGAUGGGAAACGGGUUAAUAUUCCCGUACUUGGUGUUACUGCGAAGGGGGGACGGAGAAGGCUAUGUUGGCCGGGCGACGGUUGUCCCGGUUUAAGCGUGUAGGUGUGUGUUCCAGGUAAAUCCGGUUCACUUUAACACUGAGGCGUGACGACGAGGCACUACGGUGCUGAAGCAACAAAUGCCCUGCUUCCAGGAAAAGCCUCUAAGCAUCAGGUAACAUCAAAUCGUACCCCAAACCGACACAGGUGGUCAGGUAGAGAAUACCAAGGCGCUUGAGAGAACUCGGGUGAAGGAACUAGGCAAAAUGGUGCCGUAACUUCGGGAGAAGGCACGCUGACACGUAGGUGAAGUGAUUUACUCAUGGAGCUGAAGUCAGUCGAAGAUACCAGCUGGCUGCAACUGUUUAUUAAAAACACAGCACUGUGCAAACACGAAAGUGGACGUAUACGGUGUGACGCCUGCCCGGUGCCGGAAGGUUAAUUGAUGGGGUCAGCGCAAGCGAAGCUCCUGAUCGAAGCCCCGGUAAACGGCGGCCGUAACUAUAACGGUCCUAAGGUAGCGAAAUUCCUUGUCGGGUAAGUUCCGACCUGCACGAAUGGCGUAAUGAUGGCCAGGCUGUCUCCACCCGAGACUCAGUGAAAUUGAACUCGCUGUGAAGAUGCAGUGUACCCGCGGCAAGACGGAAAGACCCCGUGAACCUUUACUAUAGCUUGACACUGAACAUUGAGCCUUGAUGUGUAGGAUAGGUGGGAGGCUUUGAAGUGUGGACGCCAGUCUGCAUGGAGCCGACCUUGAAAUACCACCCUUUAAUGUUUGAUGUUCUAACGUGGACCCGUGAUCCGGGUUGCGGACAGUGUCUGGUGGGUAGUUUGACUGGGGCGGUCUCCUCCUAAAGAGUAACGGAGGAGCACGAAGGUUGGCUAAUCCUGGUCGGACAUCAGGAGGUUAGUGCAAUGGCAUAAGCCAGCUUGACUGCGAGCGUGACGGCGCGAGCAGGUGCGAAAGCAGGUCAUAGUGAUCCGGUGGUUCUGAAUGGAAGGGCCAUCGCUCAACGGAUAAAAGGUACUCCGGGGAUAACAGGCUGAUACCGCCCAAGAGUUCAUAUCGACGGCGGUGUUUGGCACCUCGAUGUCGGCUCAUCACAUCCUGGGGCUGAAGUAGGUCCCAAGGGUAUGGCUGUUCGCCAUUUAAAGUGGUACGCGAGCUGGGUUUAGAACGUCGUGAGACAGUUCGGUCCCUAUCUGCCGUGGGCGCUGGAGAACUGAGGGGGGCUGCUCCUAGUACGAGAGGACCGGAGUGGACGCAUCACUGGUGUUCGGGUUGUCAUGCCAAUGGCACUGCCCGGUAGCUAAAUGCGGAAGAGAUAAGUGCUGAAAGCAUCUAAGCACGAAACUUGCCCCGAGAUGAGUUCUCCCUGAGACUUAGAGUCUCCUGAAGGAACGUUGAAGACGACGACGUUGAUAGGCCGGGUGUGUAAGCGCAGCGAUGCGUUGAGCUAACCGGUACUAAUGAACCGUGAGGCUUAACCUUACAACGCCGAAG
Molecule: ribosomal RNA, 2542 nt
Filed under: Salmonella enterica subsp. enterica serovar Paratyphi B var. L(+) tartrate +
Lineage: Bacteria; Pseudomonadati; Pseudomonadota; Gammaproteobacteria; Enterobacterales; Enterobacteriaceae
Description: partial 23S ribosomal RNA
Rfam family: Bacterial large subunit ribosomal RNA
Source: RNAcentral